Molecule: ribosomal RNA, 708 nt
Filed under: uncultured bacterium
Lineage: Bacteria
Description: bacterial SSU rRNA
Rfam family: Bacterial small subunit ribosomal RNA
Source: RNAcentral
AGAGUUUGAUCCUGGCUCAGAUUGAACGCUGGCGGCAUGGCUAAAGCAUGCAAGUCGAACGAGAACCCGCCUUCGGGCGGGGGACAGUGGCGAACGGGCGAGUAAUACACUCCUUAUGUACCCCGAGGUGGGGGAUAGGUCAGGGAAACCUGGCGUAAUACCUCAUGUGCUCUCCGGAGGAAAGGCUACGGCCGCCUUGGGAGCAGGGAGUGGCCUAUCAGGUUGUUGGUGAGGUAACGGCUCACCAAGCCGAAGACGGGUAGCGGGUGUGAGAGCAUGACCCGCCGCAUCGGGACUGAGACACUGCCCGGACUCCUACGGGAGGCUGCAGCGACGAAUCUUCCGCAAUGCACGAAAGUGUGACGGAGCAAUGCCGCGUGCGGGAUGAAGCGGCUUCGCCGUGUAAACCGCUGUCAGGGGCUAGAAAAACUGAUCAACCCCAAAGGAAGGGCCGGCUAACCUCGUGCCAGCAGCCGCGGUAAGACGAGGGGCCCGAGCGUUAAUCGGAAUCACUGGGCUUAAAGGGUGCGCAGGCGGAUGUGUAGGUGUCUUGUGAAAUGCCUCCGCUCAACGGAGGAACCGCAAGGCAAACCACAUGUCUUGAGGCAGGUAGGGGCCGUCGGAACGAUAGGUGGAGCGGUGAAAUGCGUAGAUAUCUAUCGGAACGCCUAUGGUGAAGACAGCCGGCUGGGCCUGUCCUGACGCUGA